This 71-nucleotide small nucleolar RNA is filed under the name Choloepus hoffmanni (Hoffmann's two-fingered sloth). RNAcentral describes it as "Small nucleolar RNA SNORD59 (ENSCHOG00000014261.1)". It matches the Rfam family "Small nucleolar RNA SNORD59". From Rfam's summary of the family: U59 belongs to the C/D class of snoRNA which contain the C (UGAUGA) and D (CUGA) box motifs. Most of the members of the box C/D family function in directing site-specific 2'-O-methylation of substrate RNAs. The record is from RNAcentral. Lineage: Eukaryota; Metazoa; Chordata; Mammalia; Pilosa; Megalonychidae.
CCUUGCUGAUGAGUAGCUUCUGACUUUCGUUCUUUUGAGUUUGCUGAAGCCAGAUGCCAUUCCUGAGAAGG